This 336-nucleotide ribosomal RNA is filed under the name uncultured bacterium. RNAcentral's name for it is "bacterial SSU rRNA". It matches the Rfam family "Bacterial small subunit ribosomal RNA", at positions 189 to 507 of the family's 1533-position model. The record is from RNAcentral.
CCCGGUUACGGGGAAAGGCCGGGACCUUCGGGCCUGGCGCGAUUGGAUGAGCCCACGUCGGAUUAGCUAGUUGGCGGGGUAAAGGCCCACCAAGGCGACGAUCCGUAGCUGGUCUGAGAGGAUGAUCAGCCACACUGGAACUGAGACACGGUCCAGACUCCUACGGGAGGCAGCAGUAGGGAAUAUUGGACAAUGGGCGCAAGCCUGAUCCAGCCAUGCCGCGUGAGUGAUGAAGGCCCUCGGGUUGUAAAGCUCUUUUGUCCGGAAAGAAAAGCGCCGGGUUAAUACCCUGGCGUCCUGACGGUACCGGAAGAAUAAGCACCGGCUAACUUCGUG